This 465-nucleotide ribosomal RNA is filed under the name Vreelandella stevensii. RNAcentral describes it as "partial 16S ribosomal RNA". It matches the Rfam family "Bacterial small subunit ribosomal RNA", at positions 338 to 795 of the family's 1533-position model. The record is from RNAcentral. Lineage: Bacteria; Pseudomonadati; Pseudomonadota; Gammaproteobacteria; Oceanospirillales; Halomonadaceae.
CCUACGGGAGGCUGCAGUGGGGAAUAUUGGACAAUGGGGGCAACCCUGAUCCAGCCAUGCCGCGUGUGUGAAGAAGGCCCUCGGGGUGUAAAGCACUUUCAGUGAGGAAGAACGCCUGGUGGUUAAUACCCAUCAGGAAAGACAUCACUCACAGAAGAAGCACCGGCUAACUCCGUGCCAGCAGCCGCGGUAAUACGGAGGGUGCGAGCGUUAAUCGGAAUUACUGGGCGUAAAGCGCGCGUAGGUGGCUUGAUAAGCCGGUUGUGAAAGCCCCGGGCUCAACCUGGGAACGGCAUCCGGAACUGUCAAGCUAGAGUGCAGGAGAGGAAGGUAGAAUUCCCGGUGUAGCGGUGAAAUGCGUAGAGAUCGGGAGGAAUACCAGUGGCGAAGGCGGCCUUCUGGACUGACACUGACACUGAGGUGCGAAAGCGUGGGUAGCAAACAGGAUUAGAUACCCGAGUAGUC